Molecule: long non-coding RNA, 1475 nt
Filed under: Meleagris gallopavo (turkey)
Lineage: Eukaryota; Metazoa; Chordata; Aves; Galliformes; Phasianidae
Description: lncRNA (ENSMGAG00000021229.1)
Source: RNAcentral
UGGUAUUUUCAGUGAUAUGCACAGUGCUUAUAUAUUUGUGUAUGCACUGUCCCUGAAAAUUUUAUUCUUCAUAUUCUUAAUCUGUUUCUCAUUAUUGGCUCUUUUCUGCAUUGUGCUUUUGUUUGUUUCAAUAUUCACAAAAAUGAAAAUUAAAUAUCUUUAAAGCACCAGAAGUGACAGCGAGAACUGUCCCAGAGGAGAAAGUGACUCUUGAAACACCUAAAAAGCCAGAAUUCAAAAAACCAGAGCCUCCUCCAACCAAAGUGCUUGAGGCCCCCAAGAAAGUUGCCUCUGAGGAGGAAGUACCUGUUGCUCUUCCUAAAAUACCUGAACCUCUACCAAGUGAAGGUAUUAUUGUAAAGGCAGUCCUUUUAACUGUUAUUCCAAAUGUAUGCUUUAAAAAAAAAAAAAAUUGUUCUUUGUUCCCCAUUCUAGUUCUUGUAAUUUGUUCACUUCACAUUUUAGAUUAUACCAAUUUGUGUUUUUUGUCUCUUUUAUUACAGUUCGUUAUGAGAGAGUAAAAUAUUACUUUAAAUAUUUUCACAUGGUCCUAUGUUGGGUAUUCUUAAGAGUAUAUUUUAUCAUUCAAUUUUAGGCAAUAAUCAAUUCUCACUAAAUUCACAUUUCGUAAGACCUAGUAUUUCUAUUGCUGUAAUCUUAAAUUAACUGAGAACAUUCAAGCUUUUAUUUUCUCCAGUUGUAAAUACUCAUCCAAAUUUUAUUUCGUUUAUAUUGUAUGCAGAAAAAAUACUAUCCUCCACAUAACCCUGAAUUAUACUUGCAGAUAAAGCAGUUUUCUCAAAGAAUGCAUUAACUGCAAAAUUAGCAGUAUGAGCUGAUACUGAGUGAUUAUGUAUCCUAACAUGUAUUUGUCUGUGUGUAUUGGAGUAGCCUGCUUUUUAUUGGUGUGUGCAAUGAUCUUAUCAUUGGAAACUUACACCAGUUAUCAAUGUUCUUUAAAGAAUAUGAAAUUGAAAAGGAAAGUGAAGUUGAAGAAACAGAAGAAAUUUCAGUAACAGAAGUAGAAGAAACUUUACCUGUUGAAGGUAUAUAGAUUACCUAGAGGCUAUCAGACAGUUUCCUCUUUCAUUACUGCUCAGAUUUUCUUGCUCUGUUUUUCUCCACAAAUAUACCUGUGUGCUGUCAGUCUCCAUGUAUUUCCUUCCCUGUUAAAUGUUGCAAACGAGUUCAGAUCUCUUAAUUCUUCUAAGUAUAAUAUGCAAAAUAUUUUAAGUGCUUUCACUUUGUUUCCUGUCAACCGGAUUCUUCUUAUCAUUUGCUUUCCCAUCUUUGUCCUCAUGUUAUUAACAUGUUUUUUUAAGUGAGCUUGAAUGUUUGUAUUUUGUGUAAGCUACAGAGCAAUAGCCUAAAACUCUUACUCCCAUUUGAUCAAUGAGAUUUUUUUCAUUAACUUCAUUGGAAAUGGAAAAUGAUCGUCUUUAUGUUCGCACUCUUCACGUCUACUGUGGUAGUAC